AAACACCGUUUAGUCAAGCAAGAAGCAUGCACACAAUAACGCGCUAGUUCUACACGGACUUACUUUGGUAGAUAGCAUGGUUCUAUAACGUAACACAACGUAGCACGCCACUCACGUUUUUGUUCUGUCCAUUGGUUUCGUGGAACCCUAUAAAAUGUUUUCACUACGUUAGGUGGUGUUGCCCUUCCACGACCUUCUCACCCUUCUUUAUUAGUUCCUAUAAACCAUCUUUUCCUUUUCCAUUUCCUCUUUAUUUUCUCUCUGUAGCAUCCAUUUUUGUUCCCUGUCUUAUACUAAAUUUCUACAUUAUAUAUAAUAUUGUUGUUACUGUCAUAAAAUAUACACAUACCCUCUAUUCUCCAACAACCUACCCAGGAGGAAGAUGAACGUGGAUCUGGAGUCAUUAGCAGAGGCCACUUCUGGGGCCAUAGGGUCACUCAUCAGCACCACUAUUCUCUACCCACUUGACACCUGCAAGACCAAGUACCAAGCCGAUGCUCGUUCCCAUGGUCGCACAAGAUACAGAAUUGGGUGUUCUGGAUCGGGACUUUGUCUUGUAGUGUUGUGUUCGGGAGAUGGUGAUCAACGAUGAAAGAUGUAAUUUCUUAGCUUGGGUUUAUUUUGAAGACAAAACUUUUGAUGCUGAUCUUCAAUUAGAAUAGAAAUUUCACCUUGGGAAAUUUGCGUAGUAAAAGGUUCUAUUAAAUGUGAAUAUACUCAUGUUGAGGAGAUGGUGAUCAAAGACAUGCGUAAUUUCCCUGCCCUUUUCAAGUAUUUGCUUUGGAGUCUGGAUAAAUUAUCGUUGAUCUUGAAAGAUGUAUUCUUUUUAGCUUGGGGGUAUUGUAAUUCUAGUUUUCUCUGUCUGGUUGCGCUUCUCAAUUCUUUGGGAUGGACUUUCCAAGGUAUCCGGAUCACCCAACAAUGAUUAUUUACUGUUUGAGAUUUGAAGAUUCUAGAAUGUAUAAACCCCCUAAGUAGGAUUAAUUGGCCAUUUUUGCUUACUGUUUUCAAAAUUAGUAUUGAAUGAACGGAACGGAGGCACUGGUUGUCGGUGGCUGAUUGACUAAUCUCAGUCUCUGCGGUAUUUGAUGGGUAAGAGAAGCACAGAAAAGAUAAAAUACUAUUGAAAAACUUAUACCCUAUUAUAAGAGAAAACAGCAAGAAACCAAAUAACACCUUUUGUGAUUGAAAAAUGCACUAUGUUUGAAAUAUAAGGGGAGUCUCUUUAUAGCAGCAGGAAGGAGCUAAUAACAAACUUAUAUAUCUGCAAUAACUAACUAAAACGCCUAUCUACAGCCAA
Molecule: non-coding RNA, 1300 nt
Organism: Vigna umbellata (rice bean)
Lineage: Eukaryota; Viridiplantae; Streptophyta; Magnoliopsida; Fabales; Fabaceae
Source: RefSeq, a predicted model, not a curated record